Molecule: ribosomal RNA, 492 nt
Filed under: uncultured bacterium
Lineage: Bacteria
Description: bacterial SSU rRNA
Rfam family: Bacterial small subunit ribosomal RNA
Source: RNAcentral
UGGCUCAGAUUAAACGCUGGCGGCAUGCCUUACACAUGCAAGUCGAACGGCAGCGACGGGGGCAACCCUGGUGGCGAGUGGCGAACGGGUGAGUAAUGCAUCGGAACGUACCCAGUCGUGGGGAUAACGUAGCGAAAGUUACGCUAAUACCGCAUACGUCCUGAGGGAGAAAGCGGGGGACCGAAAGGCCUCGCGCGAUUGGAGCGGCCGAUGUCGGAUUAGCUAGUUGGUAGGGUAAAGGCCUACCAAGGCGACGAUCCGUAGCGGGUCUGAGAAGAUGAUCCGCCACACUGGGACUGAGACACGGCCCAGACUCCUACGGGAGGCAGCAGUGGGGAAUUUUGGACAAUGGGCGCAAGCCUGAUCCAGCCAUGCCGCGUGAGUGAAGAAGGCCUUCGGGUUGUAAAGCUCUUUCAGGUGGAAAGAAAACGCAUGGGUCAAUACCCUGUGUGGAUGACGGUACCAUCAGAAGAAGCACCGGCUAACUACGUG